This 253-nucleotide ribosomal RNA is filed under the name uncultured bacterium. Its description in RNAcentral is "partial 16S ribosomal RNA". It matches the Rfam family "Bacterial small subunit ribosomal RNA", at positions 524 to 776 of the family's 1533-position model. The record is from RNAcentral.
UACGUAGGGUGCAAGCGUUGUCCGGAAUUAUUGGGCGUAAAGAGCUCGUAGGCGGUUUGUCGCGUCUGCUGUGAAAAACGCGGGGGCUCAACUCCGCGCCUGCAGUGGGUACGGGCAGACUAGAGUGCAGUAGGGAGACUGGAAUUCCUGGUGUAGCGGUGAAAUGCGCAGAUAUCAGGAGGAACACCGGUGGCGAAGGCGGUCUCUGGGCCGAUAUUGACGCUGAGGGAGCGAAAGCGUGGGAGCAAACAGG